RNAcentral lists this ribosomal RNA (316 nucleotides) under uncultured Planctomycetota bacterium. Its description in RNAcentral is "bacterial SSU rRNA". It matches the Rfam family "Bacterial small subunit ribosomal RNA", at positions 29 to 351 of the family's 1533-position model. Lineage: Bacteria; Pseudomonadati; Planctomycetota. The record is from RNAcentral.
AAUGAACGUUGGCGGCGUGGAUUAGGCAUGCAAGUCGUGCGCGAUGAGUUUCUUGCUUGCAUUAAACUCUGAAAGCGGCGAAAGGGAGAGUAACGUGUGGUUACAUGCCCAGGGGUCCAGGAUAGCGUCGGGAAACUGGCAGUAAUACUGGAUGAUAUCUAAGGAUCAAAGGUGUGAUUCCGCCCUUGGAUUGGACCGCAUACUAUUAGCUUGUUGGUGAGGUAAUGGCUCACCAAGGCUGCGAUGGUUACCGGGUGUGAGAGCAUGGCCCGGCUCACUGGGACUGAGACACUGCCCAGACACCUACGGGAGGCUG